GAUGAACGCUGGCGGCGUGCCUAAUACAUGCAAGUCGAGCGAACGGACGAGAAGCUUGCUUCUCUGAUGUUAGCGGCGGACGGGUGAGUAACACGUGGAUAACCUACCUAUAAGACUGGGAUAACUUCGGGAAACCGUAGCUAAUACCGGAUAAUAUUUUGAACCGCAUGGUUCAAAAGUGAAAGACGGUCUUGCUGUCACUUAUAGAUGGAUCCGCGCUGCAUUAGCUAGUUGGUAAGGUAACGGCUUACCAAGGCAACGAUGCAUAGCCGACCUGAGAGGGUGAUCGGCCACACUGGAACUGAGACACGGUCCAGACUCCUACGGGAGGCAGCAGUAGGGAAUCUUCCGCAAUGGGCGAAAGCCUGACGGAGCAACGCCGCGUGAGUGAUGAAGGUCUUCGGAUCGUAAAACUCUGUUAUUAGGGAAGAACAUAUGUGUAAGUAACUGUGCACAUCUUGACGGUACCUAAUCAGAAAGCCACGGCUAACUACGUGCCAGCAGCCGCGGUAAUACGUAGGUGGCAAGCGUUAUCCGGAAUUAUUGGGCGUAAAGCGCGCGUAGGCGGUUUUUUAAGUCUGAUGUGAAAGCCCACGGCUCAACCGUGGAGGGUCAUUGGAAACUGGAAAACUUGAGUGCAGAAGAGGAAAGUGGAAUUCCAUGUGUAGCGGUGAAAUGCGCAGAGAUAUGGAGGAACACCAGUGGCGAAGGCGACUUUCUGGUCUGUAACUGACGCUGAUGUGCGAAAGCGUGGGGAUCAAACAGGAUUAGAUACCCUGGUAGUCCACGCCGUAAACGAUGAGUGCUAAGUGUUAGGGGGUUUCCGCCCCUUAGUGCUGCAGCUAACGCAUUAAGCACUCCGCCUGGGGAGUACGACCGCAAGGUUGAAACUCAAAGGAAUUGACGGGGACCCGCACAAGCGGUGGAGCAUGUGGUUUAAUUCGAAGCAACGCGAAGAACCUUACCAAAUCUUGACAUCCUUUGACAACUCUAGAGAUAGAGCCUUCCCCUUCGGGGGACAAAGUGACAGGUGGUGCAUGGUUGUCGUCAGCUCGUGUCGUGAGAUGUUGGGUUAAGUCCCGCAACGAGCGCAACCCUUAAGCUUAGUUGCCAUCAUUAAGUUGGGCACUCUAAGUUGGCUGCCGGUGACAAACCGGAGGAAGGUGGGGAUGACGUCAAAUCAUCAUGCCCCUUAUGAUUUGGGCUACACACGUGCUACAAUGGACAAUACAAAGGGCAGCGAAACCGCGAGGUCAAGCAAAUCCCAUAAAGUUGUUCUCAGUUCGGAUUGUAGUCUGCAACUCGACUACAUGAAGCUGGAAUCGCUAGUAAUCGUAGAUCAGCAUGCUACGGUGAAUACGUUCCCGGGUCU
RNAcentral lists this ribosomal RNA (1372 nucleotides) under uncultured bacterium. RNAcentral describes it as "bacterial SSU rRNA". It matches the Rfam family "Bacterial small subunit ribosomal RNA", at positions 28 to 1381 of the family's 1533-position model. The record is from RNAcentral.